AUCAGAUCUUGCUACUUACGCUCUGCUCUUGCAUGCACGGCCAAUUCGCUCUCUCCCCAGUCAGCUGGCUUCUUUGGUUCUUUCCUAUGUCUGUCUGUGCCCCAGCACCAACACAAUCAAAGGCGAGUUGUGGUUGGGUUCGAGUAGCUACUGUCGGCGUCUCUUGCCGAGGUGUAUUUCUUGAACUGUAAGUUUUGCAGCAUACCGAUGCGAGGCAGUGCUAGAUCACAUGCAUUUAUGACCAUCUUCCUAUUAUAAGUAUGAUCCUUAUUUUGUUU
Molecule: long non-coding RNA, 278 nt
Organism: Oryza brachyantha (malo sina)
Lineage: Eukaryota; Viridiplantae; Streptophyta; Magnoliopsida; Poales; Poaceae
Exons: 3
Source: RefSeq, a predicted model, not a curated record